CAGGAUUCCCUUAGUAACUGCGAGUGAAAUGGGAAAAGCUCAAAUUUUAAAUCUGGCAGUCAGUUUUUUCUUCUUUGGCUGUCUGAGUUGUAAUCUAGAGAAGUGCUUACCUGUACUGGACCGUGUAUAAGUCUCCUGGAAUGGAGUGUCACAGAGGGUGAGAAUCCCGUCUUUGACAUGGACUACCAGUGCGUUGUGGUGUGCUCUCAAAGAGUCGAGUUGUUUGGGAAUGCAGCUCUAAAUGGGUGGUAAACUCCAUCUAAAGCUAAAUAUUGGCGAGAGACCGAUAGUGAACAAGUACCGUGAGGGAAAGAUGAAAAGGACUUUGGAAAGAGAGUUAAACAGUAUGUGAAAUUGUUGAAAGGGAAACGUUUGAGGUCAGUUGUGUCGGCGAGGGAUCAACCCAGUCCUUUUUUUCUGGGUGAACUUCCUAGUCUGACAGGCCAACAUCAGUUUGGACUGCUGGAGAAAGGCGGAAGGAAUGUGGCACCCUUGGGUGUGUUAUAGCCUUCUGUCAGAUGUGGCAGUUGGGACUGAGGAAUGCAGCGUGCCGUAAGGCUGGGUUUCGACCAUGUUCAUGCUUAGGAUGUUGGCUUUUAAUGGCUUCAAUCGACCCGUCUUGAAACACGGACCAAGGAGUCUAACAUGCCUGCGAGUGUUUGGGUGAGGAAAACCCUUGUGCACAAUGAAAGUGAAGGUUGAGAUCCCUGUCAUGGGGAGCAUUGAUGCCCGGACCUGAGCUUUUAGCAAAGGAUCUGCGGUAGAGCAUGCAUGUUGGGACCCGAAAGAUGGUGAACUAUGCCUGAAUAGGGCAAAGCCAGAGGAAACUCUGGUGGAGGCUCGUAGCGAUUCUGACGUGCAAAUCGAUC
Molecule: ribosomal RNA, 869 nt
Filed under: Amanita cingulata
Lineage: Eukaryota; Fungi; Basidiomycota; Agaricomycetes; Agaricales; Amanitaceae
Description: eukaryotic LSU rRNA
Rfam family: Eukaryotic large subunit ribosomal RNA
Source: RNAcentral